GCCUUGUGCUGGGAGUGAGCCCGAUUGCAAUUGUUGUUUGUCUAAUAAAUAUACUUAUAUGCAGCUCCGGAGUCCUGAGGUAACUAGGGUGAAUUUUCACCUAUCAUAUUUGGGGGCUCGUGACCGGGAUUCCAACAACCUCAACGGCUCUCCACGCUGGGCUAAUCAUCAGGACCUGAAUCAUACGGAGGAGUAUGAGACUCUGUUUUUCUAAAGACCUCCAACUUGAAUUGGAAGGAGGCCAGGGCCUGCCAGCGAGGAGAGCCGAGAGUGAAGGAAUUGAAUUAGACUAUAGGGGUUGGACUCCGAGCUGUUUGUGAGUAUAUUGUUUGUUUGUUGUGUGUGCACGCUAGUAUAGUUUUUUGGGGGGUUGAGACUAACUUUUGUUAAUUUUAACUUGCACUAUUUUUAUUAUUUCUCUGUAAAACUGUUCUAAGGGUACCAUGGCACUGUGUGGCUUCAAUAUAUCACAUGUUAUUCUCACAGAUAUUUCCCUAACGAAUGUUCUAGUCCCCUGGGCGCAGUCACCUUCCUUAAGCCUGUAAAAGAGAGCUAGUGUCUCUCCCGAAGCCCUGAAGCGCGUCCGGUGGAAGAAGACGAGAAGGCCUCUGAAGGAAGGGUAUAGAAGGAAGGGUGGCCUCUGGGCGCAGAAACAUAGCUAGGGAAAAUAUUUAACAGGGUAAGGCGGAUUCUAUGAAGCAGCACUAUGGUUCUGACUGAGCUUAAGACCAUGCAGAAGGGUUUUAUUACUUUAAUUAUUUGUAUUCCUUUUAUCAUGAUUUUAGUAAUCCAAGAAAACUAUCGGAACAUCAGGUUCUGAUACGAUGUUGAUAAUUUUUUUUUACUCCAUGUAUUGCUCUUGCUGCUUGCUUUUAUUGAUUUUAUGUAAAGCAACUGCAACAACCAUCUGACACACACACAUGCAAAAGACCCGGGUUUCAUUGGAAAAUCACAAAGCAGACAAGGCCACUAACCAGGCCGGACUGCAACAACCAUCUGACACACACAUGCAAAAGACCCGGUUUCAUUGGAAAACCACAAAGCAGACAAGGCCACAAACCAGGUUGCACUACAACCAUCUGACACGUACACAAUUGAAGAAUUAGAUCUCACAAUAUUAAAAGAUAUGCUGCAAUAUUGAGCCAUGGUGAAAACAUGCCUCAAUAAGUGGGGAUAGUAAGCAUAUAUUUGUACGUUAUAUUUCAUGAGAAAGAUGUUUAAUCAUUCAUUAUUGAUUUUAUUGAGUUAAAUCCCAACGAAAGAAAGAAAUAUUGUCUAGCCAUAGACAAUCACUGUUCAUUCAACCCCCAGUCAGCCGGACUGGUAGAAAAGAAUGAACCAAACUAUUCAAAGCGAUUUGAGAAUCCAAGAGUGAAAUUAGUGAUAUUAAGCAUGCAUGUUGUUAUCACUGUUUGAAAUGAUGUAUGGAAGAAUCUACACUGCCUAAACUCUCAAACCAUUUGCUGAAACAGACUAAGAGAUUGAAUAUACAUUUGCAGAAUAUAUGGCAAAAAUGUGAAUUAGCAAAAUGCUCUCAGAACUCUCUGUGCUCCGCAGGAACCUGUGAGGCUGAAACCAAGGUUGGGUCGGGAGAUUGGGUCCUAAUCAACAGCCUCAAAAGAAAACACUGCCACUUGCCCAAGUGGGACAGACCAUACAAAGUGCUACUGUCAACAUCUACCACAGUCAAAAUAGCGGAGAGAGCCACCUGGAUACAUCUAACACCAGAGUUCAAGGCAGGAAUCGCGCACCACAAUGCUCACUGCAGUGGUGGAUGCUGCAUAGAGUGGAUGAUGGAGUCGAUGCAAGGCGCCAGUAUGGUGCCGAGUCACGAGAGAUAGAUAUGGAGGAAGAUGAUAGUGCGGACUACCAACAAGCUGCGGAUCACCAACAAGCUGAAGCACCGAACUUUCCGCCAGUUGAAAUGAAAGAAGAUGAAGAAAACCUGUGGCCACAUCUCAGCAAGCAGUUUGCCUUCCAACGUAAAAGAGGCAACAGCUAUAUGCUGUGUAAACUGUGCCUAAUCCGUCAGUCAGAACUUUCUGCUUAUACAAAUUCAUCUUCAAAUCUGCGCAAGCAUGUGUUGGUCUAGUCUAUGUCAGACAACACCUUGACCGGAUGUUGGAGGCUGGAGCAAGUUGGACAACAUUCAUCAGAUGAAGAUGAUUUAUUUUCCUCAAUGAAGUCCAGAAGGUCAGAAGGUACAGGGGAGUUAGAAGGGUACCUAGCCUGUGUCUCAGUCAAUAUGGAUCUGCUGAACGCCUUUCAGAAUAUCAAAAAACUGUCCCUGAAACUCAAUACUGGCCUACCUGC
Long non-coding RNA from Clupea harengus (Atlantic herring), 2313 nucleotides. Lineage: Eukaryota; Metazoa; Chordata; Actinopteri; Clupeiformes; Clupeidae. The record is from Ensembl.